GUGCCAGCAGCCGCGGUAAUACGGAGGGGGCUAGCGUUGUUCGGAAUUACUGGGCGUAAAGGGCGCGUAGGCGGCGCGAUAAGUUGGGCGUGAAAGGCCCGGGCUCAACCCGGGGACUGCGCUUGAUACUGUCGCGCUGUGAGUCCGGGAGAGGAUGGCGGAAUUCCCAGUGUAGAGGUGAAAUUCGUAGAUAUUGGGAAGAACACCGGUGGCGAAGGCGGCCAUCUGGACCGGCACUGACGCUGAGGCGCGAAAGCGUGGGGAGCAAACAGGAUUAGAAACCCCAGUAGUCC
RNAcentral lists this ribosomal RNA (293 nucleotides) under uncultured bacterium. RNAcentral describes it as "partial 16S ribosomal RNA". It matches the Rfam family "Bacterial small subunit ribosomal RNA", at positions 505 to 796 of the family's 1533-position model. The record is from RNAcentral.